AGUAAUCAAUGCAUGUUGGUCAUCGUGUUUGUGACAUCAUUAAUUAUUCUCGAGCCUUCACAUUUCCUUGUUUGAGAAAGGGUGUUUCCGGAAAUCUAGUGACAUGUCCAUUUCUCUUGCAUUUUCUGUUGGCCUUUCACGUGAUGAAUAGUUGACGGCCAAGCACGAUACAGCUAUAGCAUAGUUUUAGUGUCUGGUUUUCCAGCUUUUGUCGGCCCAUCUUGUCUGAGGGGAUUCGCCAAAUUACAAAUGUGCCCUGUUAGAAGCUACUCCCAUUAAAAAAAAAAUUAAAAGUGUACUUCACGACGAGAAGUAAUUUAAUUAGUGAGGCUCAAUUAAUAUUUUUAUUAAGUUAUUCGUUAAUUUAUUAUAAUUUUUUAAUAAAAUUAAUGGUAGGAAAAGCUUUCUCUCACUUAAAUUUUUUAUCCUUAAAAAAAAAAAAAGUGUACUUCCCUGAAUCCAAUAUUUCUUCCGCUAAUCCCCCAGGUCGUUAACUGCCCCGUAAUUGCAGCAAAAAUGUCGGUGAACAAUCUUGCUUGGAUUAUGUAUUAUUUAUCAUUUUAAUUAAGGAUAAUGCAUAACAAGUCAUUUUAUUAAAACGUAGUCGGGUUCUCAUGUGCUUCAUUAAUUAAUUAAUUAUUGUGCCACUGAAAAAUAAGUGUCCUACUCCAAAGGUUGGCUAAAGAGAGACAUUGACCAUAGCAUCCAAUGUGCAAAUAAAUGAAUUUGUCAAAUAGCGCAUUGAAAUUCAACUAAACAUGAUCAGUUAAUUAAGCCAUGCCCAUAUGCAUGAGUUGGCUGAUCAUAGCAUAGGCAUAUGGUUAAAGAAGUAUUAACACUUCUUCACAUUCCAGAUUCAGACUCCAGAUUUUCUUUCUGACAUGAUUUAUUUCCUUGCAUUUUCUGCUCUUGUUUAUGACCAUUAAAUUACUUCUGUUCCUGAAUCAGACUUUUACAAUUGGAACCGAGUAAAGCUUAGAUAUUGUGAUGGAGCCUCAUUUGGUGGAGAUGCCAAGUUUGACAACGGGGUAUCUGUUUCACCCAAGAUUUCUUCCUUUUUCUCUACAAGUUUUUAUGUUAUUUUCUUUACAUUCCUGGUAUGAGAUUUGUAUGAUCAAUCUGCUGAAUUUUCGCUUAUAGCUAAAGCAUUGGCCUAUUAUUUGUCAUACUUCUUCAAAAUCUGAUGAGCGUUGAUUAAGAUGUGGUUUGUGACAACGAAAAUAAACUGUCUAUUUAAAAAAAUAACAACAGUAACCUAUCUAUUAUUUUGAUAAAUUUUCAUUGCUACUGGAUUUUUUAGAAAUAUAAUAUCUAACAAAAUUUAAACCUGAAUUAUUAUUUUAAAAAAAUGAAAGAUUAUUAGGUGCUUUCAAUGUAAGCACACCUUCUUUCACGAUUACGUAGAUCUACUUUCCGUGUUAUAAAAGGAUCCACAUUUUUGUGAUAGAUAAAGAACUAUGUGCAUGUCCUAGAAAUGUUCUAUAAUCUUUCAAACCGGUUACUUGAGCAGCUUAUAAGCAGCCAUACAGUUUUGCUUUGUUAGGUAAGUGGAAGUUCUGUUUGAUUUUUGUUUCUUGCGCGAAAUUCUAUGACGCCACAUGUCAGAAAUAAUGGUAUACUUUGUAUGGUGUAUUACGGCCGUUUGGAUUUAAUAACUGAAGGAAAGCACUGUUCCUUUCGGAAACAACUAUUGAGAUUUCAUAUUUUCAUUGUUGUAAUUUGUAAACCAGCUCAUUGGUUGCUCCGGUAUCAAGGUAAAUAGUUGUAAGGCAUAUUUGUUGGGAGUCAUUAUGCCACAGAAUGAAACUUAAAAUGCCCUUUUGAUUGUAACUUAUGUACGCUUUACCAUAAAAGGCCAUAAGCUGUGCUUGAUUAACAUUACUUUUUUGUGUGCAUGAGACAGACGUCAGUCCUUUAUUUCAGAGGGCAAAAGAUUUGGGAAGCAAUUAUUCUUGACCUUCUCCCUAAAGGGAUGGGGCAGGCACGUAAGGCUUUGCUUUCAGGUUGCUCUGCUGGGGGUUUAUCAGCCUUUAUCCAUUGCGACAACUUUGCUAAGAUAUUACCAAAUGCCAGUGUGAAGUGCUUGAGUGAUGCAGGAUUUUUUCUUGAUGAAAAAGACGUCAGUUUGAACCACACUAUGAGGUCCUUCUAUGCAAAUCUUGUUACUCUGCAGGUACAGCACUUGACCUACCACUACCAUGCGUGACUAGGAAUAUGGAGCUACUUGUUUUAUGUUUCACAAAACUUCAAUCACACUUCACUACAUGUCUUCCUCAUUCUUUUUAUGUUAGCUUCUCUUUUGACAUCAUGACUUGAGUAAACUGUACAUUUGCACACUGUUGAUCCAAUCACUGAUGUCAUAUAAAAUGAAAUGCCUUCUUAUUUUUUCCUUUGUUAAACAGUAGACCGGAGCAUAUUCAUCCUAUGUUCUUCAAAGUUGCAACUAUGUCUUUGGUUUGUGAGUAAAAAACAUUAGGCUUCUCAUACGGUAGAUUUCAACUGUUGGAAUGUGCUUGAAUUUAACCAUCAGUCUGUAUCUUUGAUUCUUUAAGUGUUAGCUAGGGUUAGGGUUGGAAGAAUGGCAUCAUGGUUGUGUGCAGGUACGUGGUUAACGGAUAACCAAUUGAUAAAAGUAUUUUGAUGCAGCAUCUGAAUGCUAGAAUUGUUGGAUUUCAUGUUUAAAUAAUUGUAUGUUAGACAAUUAUAUGAAUUAUUAUGCACAAAAAUAAAAGACCUAAAUAUUAUAUUUAGUACAAAAAUGAAUAUCUGCUGUAUGUGCUUUAUAUCUUGCUAGUUUUAUUUAAUGUGGAAAUUCUUCAUGGCAGGGGGUUGAAAAGAAUCUCAACAAAAACUGCACCAAUUUCUUCAGCAAUAAUCCAAAACUGGUAAAAUUUUCUGAAGCCUCCUGUUACCUCCUACUCUUGCUUGCCGCUUGUUUCAUGUAAUGGUUAUGUUAUUUUUGUAUUUGUGCAGUGCAUCUUUCCACAGUAUGCAUUGAGGUUCAUUACAACACCAUUCUUCAUCUUGAAUGCAGCUUAUGAUGUGUACCAAGUAUACAUAUAGUAGCCUUGUUCAUCUUAAUAGUGAAUUUACAUAACAUGCAACUUUGAAAUCACAAUUGUAUACACUAUAAGCUCAUUAAAAAAUAUUGACUGAUUGAAAUUUUAAUCUUUAACAGUUCAACCAUAUAUUGGUGCCUCCUUCUGCUGACUUGCUUGGACAAUGGAAGAGUUGUAAGCUUAAUACAGCAGAAUGUAAUGCAGAACAGAUAAACAUAUUGCAAGGAUUCAGGGGAGAUAUGCUGGUAGCCUUGAGAUUUUUCUUCAAAAAUUCCAGUCAGGGAGGAAUGUUUAUAAAUUCAUGCUUUGCUCAUUGCCAAAGUGAGUCACAGGACACAUGGUUUGCAGUUGACUCCCCUAGGAUACACAACAAGACUAUUGCAAAAGCAGUUGGUGAUUGGUAUUUUAAUAGAGAUGUAACCAAACAGAUUGAUUGUCCGUAUCCUUGUGACACUACCUGCCAUAACCUCAUACCAACAGCUCUGGUCCCAUAGAUGGUUUCAAAAUAUACACGGAGAAAAUAUUUAUUCUUGCAAGUUUUCCUCUUUCUUCGAGUAUUGAAGAUAGUGGAGUAUACAGAAAUGGGAAAGAGUAUAGGAAGAGAUACUAAAAGGAAGUGAAGAUAGCGAUUCAUGGAUAUUUAAGGAAAUUUUAUAGCAGAAGAAAUCGUAAAUGAAUCGAAAAGUACAGAUUCAGAGUUUUACAAGUUUAGCAGGAGGCUUAAAAGCAAAGAAGAAAAUUUGAAUUGUUGUAUUAGCCUGAACAAUCAAGGAGUAAACAUGUUCGCAUUCAUAAUUGUUGAAUGAAAUUGAUUCUGGUUUAUAAAUGAUGAGAUAUUGAAAGGGCCAUUUUUAUUGCUCAAUCAUUUGAUUUGCCCUGAAAUCAAAACUUAGUGAUGCGCAUUCACAGUCAGAUAUUAGUUUGAUUUCCCUUUUCAGACAAAAAGAAAUGUAAAAAAAAAAGAAAAGAAAAGAAAAAAAAAAAAAAAAAAAGAAAGGAAAAGAAUUAGGUAAAAAAAUAUAUAUACAUAGUAAAUGAUGAGUUUACUUUCAGAAAUCUGAAGAAACGAAGUGGAUUCAGAUACUUUAUUGAAAGUAUAUAAAUAUAUAUUAUGUAAUUUAACAUAUAAAUUAUAUGAUUAUUGUUGAAAAUAUUGAUUACCCAAUUAUCUAAAUUAGUUAGCUUUGUUUGCUAUACUUUUCUUUCAAAUCAUGGUAGUGAUUUUGAUGGUAACUUUUGAUUUUUAAGAUAACAAAAUUGAGAUUGUCCUGAAGUUUUGGGUUUCAGAUCUUAAUCAGAGUUAAUUAUAUUAAAAAAAUUAAUUAAAUGAAAACAAGAAGGCAAUUCUACUGCCGAAAAGUUGAAUUAUGAGAGUUGUUAAUUUUCCAAUUCAUAGGGCAGAAAAGAUGAGAAGAUAGCGAUUUAUUUGGUGGGACGCGACUCUGAUGGAUAAUGAGAGGUGAGAGAAAUGGUAGUGGGCUUGUUGUGAGGUCGCAAUCCUUGAUCUUUCAUGGGGAAACAUGUAAUGUCUGUGUGGAUUAAUGGUAAUGAAUUUGGUUGGAUAACUAAAUUCUGGGUGUUUAUAAAAAGCCCAUUUGAUCAAAACAACUGGCUUCUGAAAAUUCAAAUCCAAAAACAUUGUCAUUUUCAUAACAGUUUCAAGAUUUAAUCACAGCACUUGAUAUUGGUACCAUAGAAUAUGACGUUUUUGGAAUCCUUUCUUAUCAAAUCCAUGGAGUCCUAUUCCUGAAUUCCGUGUACGUGUAUUUUACUUAAGG
This 4837-nucleotide unclassified non-coding RNA is filed under the name Hevea brasiliensis (rubber tree). Lineage: Eukaryota; Viridiplantae; Streptophyta; Magnoliopsida; Malpighiales; Euphorbiaceae. The record is from RNAcentral.